AUCUCUACCACAGACAGAGUGAACGGCAACCCUGCAUGACCCUCUGUCCUUCACACACGAUGACAGACAGCACCCGGUGUGACCUGCCCCAAAGUGUACCUUGCUAACAGCUGACUUAUGGGAUAAAUGCAGCAAAGGAAAUCACUGGGUGCAGAGCAGCUACCACUGUGUGGGUUUUCCAAGAUGCUAAUAUCUCAGUAUCCCUGUUCGCUGCCUGACACCUGAGCAGGGGCAGCUGCACCGUGGGAAGCCGGUUCCACAGUUGCAUUUCAGCAGGCGCUCCAGCCAUGUAAAGUUACUAUGUUACCAAAUGACUCAGCUUGCCAGGUCUGUAUUGAAGACUGACAUCAUGUAUAUGCCUCCUGGAGCCCCCACACCCCGUUUGAUUGGGGUUUAUUUUACAAGCACCAGGAGUCUCGACACUUAGCAUCUCUAGAGCUGCCCUGAGACGCUCAGCCCUAUAACAAAUUCUCGCUGUGCUGUAAGCAUUCUGAAGGUGUGCGAGAGAUAAACAGACCUGUAGUCCACCCCAUAGGUGUGCCCACAGGACACAGAUCUCUUCUGUGAUCCACUCUCUGCCGUGUGUGAUGCACACAUGCUUGUGUGUAGCCGAGCUGUCUGAGUUUGUUAUCAACUCCCGAGACCCCACAGCGAGCUUCAUACCCACUCACUCUCUCUGGCUGUUCGUCCUGACUCCCCGGCCUUGGCAGAACAAACCACAACUGGACCACACACUUUGCUCAUGCAGCACAUUUUAAAUACUUUUUUUUUGAGGGGUGGUGGUAGGGAUGAAACUCAUUUUGUAGCCAUGUUCCAACUAGAAAUCUUUUGCCUUAACCUCUUCAGUAGUUGGGGUUAUAGUUGCAAGCCACAGCCCCAAGAUCAUGUUUGAAGUAAAUUGGGCAGAU
This is a non-coding RNA of Myodes glareolus (Bank vole), 908 nucleotides long. NCBI's taxonomy places the organism in Eukaryota, Metazoa, Chordata, Mammalia, Rodentia, Cricetidae. The record is from RefSeq and is a predicted model, not a curated record.